CCCGCGCCGGGGUCGCAGGUGACGCGCGAGGGAUCCCAGGGUACCAGUGUGCGGAGUUCCUGUUGCUAAGCUGAAGGUGGCGCUGGGCAGGCACAGGUGUUGUGGUCAUAUCUUCAGCCAACAGGACCAUCCUCCUGAGGGCCACCUCUGGGGACUUCCUACGGGAAGAGAGUGACAGAUUUGGUGCUUCUUUGUGUUUCUGCCGCUUCAGUGGGGCCACUGUGGGAGACAGUGGGUGGACCCUCCAGCAGCCUGUCUGCUGAGCCUGCCUUCUCAAGUCCACUGUGAAAAUCAGGACCGGGUCGUGUACAAGCCUACAGGCCCUGUCUCCCCUCCCCACACCUGCAGGAGUUGAGGGCUGCACCUGCUC
RNAcentral lists this long non-coding RNA (370 nucleotides) under Pongo abelii (Sumatran orangutan). RNAcentral's name for it is "lincRNA". The record is from RNAcentral. Lineage: Eukaryota; Metazoa; Chordata; Mammalia; Primates; Hominidae.